GGGGACGUUUUGGAUUCGACAGGGAUAGGUCGAGCUUGAGUUGCGAGUCGAGGGGAUCGUCCUCGUAAAAAACGUCAAAGCCAAUAAUAACUGGCAAAUCUAACGAUAACCUCGCUUUAGCUGCCUAAUAAGGCCUAACGCGGAUCCUCCCUCCAUCGCCCAUGUGGUAGGGUAAGGGUCUCACUUUCAGUGGGCUACGCCGGACGUCCUCCGCCUGGGGACUAUGGAAGAGACUAAUCAGGCUAGCACUUUGGAAGCCUGUCGAUAGGCCGAAGAAGAUGCGAAGCGCUAAUAUAUCGACUAUAUUCGUAGAAGCUUGAGUGACGAUAUUCUUGGACGUGGGUUCGAUUCCCACCGUCUCCACU
RNAcentral lists this transfer-messenger RNA (365 nucleotides) under uncultured Siminovitchia sp. It matches the Rfam family "transfer-messenger RNA". Rfam says of the family: Bacterial tmRNA, also known as 10Sa RNA or SsrA, is named for its dual tRNA and mRNA-like properties. The record is from RNAcentral. Lineage: Bacteria; Bacillati; Bacillota; Bacilli; Caryophanales; Bacillaceae.